CCUACGGGAGGCAGCAGUGAGGAAUAUUGGUCAAUGGGCGUAAGCCUGAACCAGCCAAGUCGCGUGAGGGAUGAAGGUUCUAUGGAUCGUAAACCUCUUUUAUAAGGGAGCAAAGUCACCCACGUGUGGGUGUUGGAGAGUACCUGAAGAAAAAGCAUCGGCUAACUCCGUGCCAGCAGCCGCGGUAAUACGGAGGAUGCGGGCGUUAUCCGGAUUUAUUGGGUUUAAAGGGUGCGUAGGCGGGUUAUCAAGUCAGCGGUAAAAUCGUGGAGCUCAACUCCAUCCAGCCGUUGAAACUGAUGAUCUUGAGUGGGCGAGAAGUAUGCGGAAUGCGUGGUGUAGCGGUGAAAUGCAUAGAUAUCACGCAGAACUCCGAUUGCGAAGGCAGCUUACUAAGCCAUAACUGACACUGAAGCACGAAAGCGUGGGGAUCAAACAGGAUUAGAUACCCUAGUAGUC
RNAcentral lists this ribosomal RNA (459 nucleotides) under uncultured bacterium. RNAcentral's name for it is "partial 16S ribosomal RNA". It matches the Rfam family "Bacterial small subunit ribosomal RNA", at positions 338 to 795 of the family's 1533-position model. The record is from RNAcentral.